Molecule: long non-coding RNA, 635 nt
Filed under: Actinidia chinensis (golden kiwifruit)
Lineage: Eukaryota; Viridiplantae; Streptophyta; Magnoliopsida; Ericales; Actinidiaceae
Description: long non-coding RNA (ACHI_LNC004588)
Source: RNAcentral
ACGUGUCUUUACUUGCCUUUAAGUGCUUUUUCGAGCCUUGAGAGGCUCCUACCGAGGGCACUGAGUUCAGCCCAUAAGAUGGUACCAACUCGUCCAAACCACCCGGGCUGAGUGCUGAUAAUGGCGCUGACCCAUCCCGGCACAUUGAGCUUGGCCCAACUAGUGGCAUGGACUCAUCCAAGCUUCAUGGGCGCGUCCCAAGUCCAGCCUAGACCAAGAAUGGUUCCACCUUCACUGUGUAAAUGUACGCACGUGAGUGAUUCUUUUAUUCACUGUGGUGUUUGACCUGGAAUGACUUGUAUAAGCCUUGAAAUUAUGUUAUAUUUGGAUUUUUAUCAAACCAUACAUCUGAUUUUACAAUAUAAUGCAUUCUGCAUGUUGACUAGGUAUGCUCAUGCCUUAUUGUCACUUGAAUGUGUCAUAGUUUUUAGGAACGGAGGUGGCUUUCUCUUUUUCUUUCUGUGACAUACUUGUGUUGGCUUUGUUUCUCAUUUCUGCAGAUGAUUACUUUCUCUCUCUCAGAAAUGGUGCACGAAGUUUGUUGGGUAUCUGAAUAGCUGUAGGGGAGGCAGUUGCAUACGUCUAUCUGGGAUGUAUGGAAAUGUUAGCCAACUUGGAGUUGGGAAUGCCAUUCU